RNAcentral lists this ribosomal RNA (433 nucleotides) under uncultured bacterium. RNAcentral describes it as "partial 16S ribosomal RNA". It matches the Rfam family "Bacterial small subunit ribosomal RNA", at positions 29 to 507 of the family's 1533-position model. The record is from RNAcentral.
AACGAACGCUGGCGGCAUGCCUAACACAUGCAAGUCGAACGAGACCUUCGGGUCUAGUGGCGCACGGGUGCGUAACGCGUGGGAACCUGCCCUUAGGUUCGGAAUAACUCCCCGAAAGGGGUGCUAAUACCGGAUAAUGUCUUCGGACCAAAGAUUUAUCGCCUUUGGAUGGGCCCGCGUUGGAUUAGCUAGUUGGUAGGGUAAAAGCCUACCAAGGCGACGAGCCAUAGCUGGUCUGAGAGGAUGAUCAGCCACACUGGGACUGAGACACGGCCCAGACUCCUACGGGAGGCAGCAGUGGGGAAUAUUGGACAAUGGGCGAAAGCCUGAUCCAGCAAGGCCGCGUGAGUGAUGAAGGCCUUAGGGUUGUAAAGCUCUUUUACCCGGGAGGAUAAUGACAGUACCGGGAGAAUAAGCGCCGGCUAACUCCGUG